ACGUGAAACCUUGUGGGAAGCAGGGAGGACCACCUCCCAAGGCUAAAUACUACCUAGUGACCGAUAGUGAAGCAGUACCGUGAGGGAAAGGUGAAAAGAACCCCGGAAGGGGAGUGAAAUAGAACCUGAAACCGUGUGCCUACAACCGAUCGGAGCACGUUAAAGUGUGACGAUGUGCUUUUUGUAGAACGAGCCAGCGAGUUACGCUAUGUAGCAAGGUUAAGUACUUAAGGUAUGGAGCCGAAGGGAAACCGAGUCUGAAAAGGGCGAAAAGUUGCAUGGUGUAGACCCGAAACCGGGUGACCUAUCCAUGGCCAGGUUGAAGCGAGAGUAAAAUCUCGUGGAGGACCGAACCACGUUGGUGUUGAAAAACCAUGGGAUGAGCUGUGGAUAGCGGAGAAAUUCCAAUCGAACUCGGAGAUAGCUGGUUCUCCUCGAAAUAGCUUUAGGGCUAGCGUCGUGUAAUUGAGUAAUGGAGGUAGAGCACUGAAUGGGCUAGGGGCUAUAGUAGUUACCGAACCCUAUCAAACUCCGAAUGCCAUAUACUUGUAUCACGGCAGUCAGACUGCGAAUGAUAAGAUCCGUAGUCAAA
Molecule: ribosomal RNA, 592 nt
Filed under: Clostridium botulinum
Lineage: Bacteria; Bacillati; Bacillota; Clostridia; Eubacteriales; Clostridiaceae
Description: partial 23S ribosomal RNA
Rfam family: Bacterial large subunit ribosomal RNA
Source: RNAcentral